CAUUUUUUUAUAUCAAACGUUUGACCGUCCGUCUUAUUUAAAAAAUUUUAUGAUUAGUUAUUUUUUUUGUUGUUGUUAUUAGAUUAUAAAACAUGAAUAAUACUUUAUGUGUGACUAUUCUUUUUUGAAAAAAUAUAAUUUUUUAAAUAAGACAUAUGGUUAAAAGUUAAAUACGGAAUCUCACAACUGCACUUAUA
This 197-nucleotide microRNA precursor is filed under the name Oryza glumipatula. RNAcentral's name for it is "MIR812 microRNA precursor family". It matches the Rfam family "MIR812 microRNA precursor family", at positions 27 to 205 of the family's 205-position model. The record is from Rfam by way of RNAcentral. Lineage: Eukaryota; Viridiplantae; Streptophyta; Magnoliopsida; Poales; Poaceae.